CCGCUGUGGUUGGCGAGGCCGCCUGCUUGGCUUCGGCAGCCGCCGCUUUGCCCUGAAGCUGGAGAGGAAGGCGCCUCCAGGGCUCUCUAUGGGGAGAGUUUUCCUGGUGCAGAGUUUUCCACUGCUGCAGAAAUUCAACAGGCGCAAGUUUCCCAGAGUUUAAAGGACUUUUCAUUGUAUCUGUGAAUAGUCACGCAGCCAUGAUAUGAGACUGGCCUGGGCAUGGCGGCUACUCCUGUGAUAAUGCUGGUUGCAGGGUCGUAACAAAGAAUGGUAUCUGUGGCUUCUCCAUUUUCACGCCUCCCACCAAGGAUAUAGAUCUUGCCAUUACAUACAGACAUGCCACAAUUUUCCUGUUCAUCAAAUAUACAAAGAUGUGAGCAUUAAAACAAAAGGGAACAGAGCUGGAAUGAGGGGAAACAGGAAGACAAUGGGAGUGAAAAUGGAAGCAGUGGAGAAAGCAGCAGGAGUACGGCACUGAACAAGGGAGUCCAGAAGGGCUGAGAUAGAAAGUGGGAAGUGAAAGAAACUACAAGCAGCUGUACUUGAUGUAUACUAAAUAAAAAUGUUUG
Long non-coding RNA from Eublepharis macularius, 572 nucleotides. RefSeq lists it as uncharacterized. The record is from RefSeq and is a predicted model, not a curated record. Lineage: Eukaryota; Metazoa; Chordata; Lepidosauria; Squamata; Eublepharidae. The transcript has 3 exons.